GCAAGUCGAACGGUAACAGGAAGAAGCUUGCUUCUUUGCUGACGAGUGGCGGACGGGUGAGUAAUGUCUGGGAAACUGCCUGAUGGAGGGGGAUAACUACUGGAAACGGUAGCUAAUACCGCAUAACGUCGCAAGACCAAAGAGGGGGACCUUCGGGCCUCUUGCCAUCGGAUGUGCCCAGAUGGGAUUAGCUAGUAGGUGGGGUAACGGCUCACCUAGGCGACGAUCCCUAGCUGGUCUGAGAGGAUGACCAGCCACACUGGAACUGAACACGGUCCAACUCCUACGGGAGGAGCAGGGGGAUAUUGCCCAUGGGCGCAGCCUGAUGCACCAGCCCCGUGUAUGAAAAAAGGCUUCGGGUUGAAAGUACUUCACGGGGAGGAGGGAAGAAAGUUAUACCUUU
This 403-nucleotide ribosomal RNA is filed under the name Escherichia coli. Its description in RNAcentral is "bacterial SSU rRNA". It matches the Rfam family "Bacterial small subunit ribosomal RNA", at positions 57 to 466 of the family's 1533-position model. Lineage: Bacteria; Pseudomonadati; Pseudomonadota; Gammaproteobacteria; Enterobacterales; Enterobacteriaceae. The record is from RNAcentral.